UACAGAGGUCUCAAGCGUUGUUCGGAUUCAUUGGGCGUAAAGGGUGCGUAGGUGGCUAGGUAAGUCAGGUGUGAAAUCUCGGGGCUCAACUCCGAAACUGCACUUGAUACUGCCUGGCUCGAGUACUGGAGAGGAGAUUGGAAUUUACGGUGUAGCAGUGAAAUGCGUAGAUAUCGUAAGGAAGACCAGUGGCGAAGGCGAAUCUCUGGACAGUUACUGACACUGAGGCACGAAGGCCAGGGGAGCAAACAGG
Molecule: ribosomal RNA, 253 nt
Filed under: uncultured bacterium
Lineage: Bacteria
Description: partial 16S ribosomal RNA
Rfam family: Bacterial small subunit ribosomal RNA
Source: RNAcentral